Molecule: ribosomal RNA, 400 nt
Filed under: phytoplankton environmental sample
Lineage: Eukaryota
Description: partial small subunit ribosomal RNA
Rfam family: Eukaryotic small subunit ribosomal RNA
Source: RNAcentral
AGCUCCAAUAGCGUAUAUUAAAGUUGUUGCAGUUAAAAAGCUCGUAGUUGGACCUGUGGUGGUUGCCUGCCUCCCUUCACUAUGUGGAGGUGCGGAGCAAGUGACCCCAUGCUUGGAGCGGAAGCUGUGUGGCAUUAAGUUGUCGUGCAGGGGAAGCCCAUCGUUUACUGUGAAAAAAUUAGAGUGUUCAAAGCAGGCUUGUGCCUAUGAAUAUAUUAGCAUGGAAUAAUGAGAUAGGACCUUGGUACUAUUUUGUUGGUUUGUGCACCAAGGUAAUGGUUAACAGGGACAGUUGGGGGUAUUCGUAUUCCAUUGUCAGAGGUGAAAUUCUUGGAUUUUUGGAAGACGAACGACUGCGAAAGCAUUUACCAAGGAUGUUUUCAUUAAUCAAGAACGAAAG